This is a long non-coding RNA of Triticum aestivum (bread wheat), 161 nucleotides long. RefSeq lists it as uncharacterized. The transcript is spliced from 3 exons. The record is from RefSeq and is a predicted model, not a curated record. Lineage: Eukaryota; Viridiplantae; Streptophyta; Magnoliopsida; Poales; Poaceae.
UGUUUCUAUUCCGAGACCCCGCUGCCGCUGCGGACGCCAUGGAGACCGUCAAGGCGCAGACUGUUGUGUGCCGCCUCUUCCAUGGGCGUCCACGCCAUGGAGCUCCUUAAGACACCCUCAAUGAUGACCAAGGUGGAGUGCAGGACAUCGAGGACAUGAUA